GGUGUGAUGGCCGAGAUGGUUAAGGCGGCGGUCUUAAGAUCCGCUGAUUAAAAAUCGUCGUGGGUUCGAGUCCCGCUCACACCU
Transfer RNA from Fonticula alba, 84 nucleotides. It matches the Rfam family "tRNA". From Rfam's summary of the family: Transfer RNA (tRNA) molecules are approximately 80 nucleotides in length. Their secondary structure includes four short double-helical elements and three loops (D, anti-codon, and T loops). Further hydrogen bonds mediate the characteristic L-shaped molecular structure. tRNAs have two regions of fundamental functional importance: the anti-codon, which is responsible for specific mRNA codon recognition, and the 3' end, to which the tRNAs corresponding amino acid is attached (by aminoacyl-tRNA synthetases). tRNAs cope with the degeneracy of the genetic code in two manners: having more than one tRNA (with a specific anti-codon) for a particular amino acid; and 'wobble' base-pairing, i.e. permitting non-standard base-pairing at the 3rd anti-codon position. The record is from Rfam. Lineage: Eukaryota; Rotosphaerida; Fonticulaceae.